Molecule: ribosomal RNA, 1024 nt
Filed under: Neodevriesia strelitziae
Lineage: Eukaryota; Fungi; Ascomycota; Dothideomycetes; Mycosphaerellales; Neodevriesiaceae
Description: SSU rRNA
Rfam family: Eukaryotic small subunit ribosomal RNA
Source: RNAcentral
AAACUGCGAAUGGCUCAUUAAAUCAGUUAUCGUUUAUUUGAUAGUACUUUACUACUUGGAUAACCGUGGUAAUUCUAGAGCUAAUACAUGCUAAAAACCCCGACUUCGGGAGGGGUGUAUUUAUUAGAUAAAAAACCAACGCCCUUCGGGGCUCCCUGGUGAUUCAUGAUAACUUAACGAAUCGCAUGGCCUUGAGCCGGCGAUGGUUCAUUCAAAUUUCUGCCCUAUCAACUUUCGAUGGUAGGAUAGUGGCCUACCAUGGUCUCAACGGGUAACGGGGAAUUAGGGUUCGACUCCGGAGAGGGAGCCUGAGAAACGGCUACCACAUCCAAGGAAGGCAGCAGGCGCGCAAAUUACCCAAUCCCGACACGGGGAGGUAGUGACAAUAAAUACUGAUACAGGGCUCUUUCGGGUCUUGUAAUUGGAAUGAGUACAAUUUAAAUCCCUUAACGAGGAACAAUUGGAGGGCAAGUCUGGUGCCAGCAGCCGCGGUAAUUCCAGCUCCAAUAGCGUAUAUUAAAGUUGUUGCAGUUAAAAAGCUCGUAGUUGAACCUUGGGCCUGGCUGGCCGGUCCGCCUCACCGCGUGUACUGGUCCGGCCGGGCCUUUCCUUCUGGGGAACCGCAUGGCCUUCACUGGCCGUGUCGGGGAACCAGGACUUUUACUUUGAAAAAAUUAGAGUGUUCAAAGCAGGCCUUUGCUCGAAUACAUUAGCAUGGAAUAAUAGAAUAGGACGUGCGGUUCUAUUUUGUUGGUUUCUAGGACCGCCGUAAUGAUUAAUAGGGACAGUCGGGGGCAUCCGUAUUCAAUUGUCAGAGGUGAAAUUCUUGGAUUUAUUGAAGACGAACUACUGCGAAAGCAUUUGCCAAGGAUGUUUUCAUUAAUCAGUGAACGAAAGUUAGGGGAUCGAAGACGAUCAGAUACCGUCGUAGUCUUAACCAUAAACUAUGCCGACUAGGGAUCGGUGGGUGUUAUUAUUUUGACCCCAUCGGCACCUUACGAGAAAUCAAAGUUUUUGGGUCUGG